Molecule: long non-coding RNA, 1014 nt
Filed under: Nicotiana benthamiana
Lineage: Eukaryota; Viridiplantae; Streptophyta; Magnoliopsida; Solanales; Solanaceae
Description: long non-coding RNA (NBEN_LNC012947)
Source: RNAcentral
AGGUCUUGGUACGUGAUAUAUGGGUUUUUGAGAAGUCUCUCUUCCACCCUGGAGCAUACUGGCGUCUAUGUGGACGAAUCAAAGUUUAGAUAGACUGUUGUGAAGAGGAAAUGGUUUUCAUCAACUUUGUAAGAUGCUAGAAUUUGUAACUUAUUCACCCCUGAGACAUACAUGUCUCUCUUGUGAAGAGGAAAUGGUUUUCUUCAACUUUGUAAGAUGCUAUAAUUUGUAACUUAUUCAACCCUGAAACAUACAUGUCUUUGGUUUCUCUACACUUCAACUUUCAUGUGCUUUAUUCUGUAGUCCAUUCAGAAAAUUUUCCUUUAGACUUGUGUAGCUGCCAUUUUAUGACUCAAUAAGCAGGUGCAAGUCCUGCAUAAUUGUUCUUAAAGGAACACCUAUAAAGAUGUAUUUUUGUUUUCUGGAACUGUUUUAAAGAGUUGUCAGUCUGAUUUAAGGGGACGUCUUUCCUUUGAUUUGGUGAAAAUUGUGUAAGGAGAAGCGUAUUCACUUGCUUCAUUGCUUGAUAAAUGGUAAUCCAUCUUGUUUGGUUCGUUCUCUUCAUGUGCUCCUCUGAUCAAUUAGUAUAGGUAUUGUGCUUAGUUGAAGCUGAACAGCUACUUCAAUCCUAUUUAUUAGUUUACCUUGUUCAAUUGGCUUCAUGUUCUCAAGCUCAAAUUGACAAUCAGAGCCCCUUCUUUGGUAAUCAUUUGUAGGAAACUCAAGUUGAGAAAGAGGGAAGGAAUAAAACCUUGAUGCCUAUAAGCAUUAGCUUUAUGGAGGGGAAAUAUAAGAUGCUAUCUGGCUUUACCUUUGUUUUUGCUCCCAAGAAAAGAAAAGGAACAUAGCUUGCAACUGUUGCUUGUCUUUGGCCGAAAGAAUUUAAUGGCUACAGCAGUCUAAAAGCCUACAUUAUUUUUUCAGUUUCCUUUCUUAAAACAGACCAAGGAAUGGACAAAGGAGGAAACAAAAUCCAGCUCCUUGGCAUUUGCAAUGAAUUAUUGUGUUAUAUCA